UCCUACGGGAGGCAGCAGUGGGGAAUUUUGGACAAUGGGGGCAACCCUGAUCCAGCCAUGCCGCGUGCAGGAUGAAGGUCUUCGGAUUGUAAACUGCUUUUGUCAGGGAAGAAAAGGUCUGUGUUAAUACCAUAGACUGCUGACGGUACCUGAAGAAUAAGCACCGGCUAACUACGUGCCAGCAGCCGCGGUAAUACGUAGGGUGCAAGCGUUAAUCGGAAUUACUGGGCGUAAAGCGUGCGCAGGCGGUUCUGUAAGACAGAUGUGAAAUCCCCGGGCUCAACCUGGGAAUGGCAUUUGUGACUGCAGGACUAGAGUUCAUCAGAGGGGGGUGGAAUUCCAAGUGUAGCAGUGAAAUGCGUAGAUAUUUGGAAGAACACCAAUGGCGAAGGCAGCCCCCUGGGAUGCGACUGACGCUCAUGCACGAAAGCGUGGGGAGCAAACAGGAUUAGAUACCCUGGUAGUCCACGCCCUAAACGAUGUCUACUGGUUGUUGGGAAUUUAAUAUUCUUGGUAACGAAGCUAACGCGUGAAGUAGACCGCCUGGGGAGUACGGUCGCAAGAUUAAAACUCAAAGGAAUUGACGGGGACCCGCACAAGCGGUGGAUGAUGUGGAUUAAUUCGAUGCAACGCGAAAAACCUUACCUAGCCUUGACAUGCCGAGAAUCCCGAAGAGAUUUGGGAGUGCCCGUAAGGGAACUUGGACACAGGUGCUGCAUGGUUGUCGUCAGCUCGUGUCGUGAGAUGUUGGGUUAAGUCCCGCAACGAGCGCAACCCUUGUCACUAGUUGCUACGCAAGAGCACUCUAGUGAGACUGCCGAUGAUAAAUCGGAGGAAGGUGGGGAUGACGUCAAGUCCUCAUGGCCCUUAUGGCUAGGGCCUCACACGUCAUACAAUGGUCGGAACAGAGGGCAGCGAAGCCGCGAGGUGGAGCAAAUCCCAGAAAACCGAUCGUAGUCCGGAUUGCAGUCUGCAACUCGACU
This 983-nucleotide ribosomal RNA is filed under the name human gut metagenome. Its description in RNAcentral is "bacterial SSU rRNA". It matches the Rfam family "Bacterial small subunit ribosomal RNA", at positions 337 to 1317 of the family's 1533-position model. The record is from RNAcentral.